Molecule: long non-coding RNA, 288 nt
Filed under: Dasypus novemcinctus (nine-banded armadillo)
Lineage: Eukaryota; Metazoa; Chordata; Mammalia; Cingulata; Dasypodidae
Description: lncRNA (ENSDNOG00000052558.1)
Source: RNAcentral
ACCUUACUCGUUCUUUCCUAAUGCCCAAGGCAUCUUUGAGUGGAAGGGUGGUAGCAAGGAAGAAAGUAACAAAGAAAGGAAGGGGGAGAGGAAGAAAACAGUUAGUGACCAUCAGGUCUUUUCUUAGACUCACAAUUUGGAGCCUUGGGAAGAUAUGUGACAAUGUCAGCAUCCAUAUUCAAAUGGCCAGCAAUGUACGCACAUCUCCUGGAUGGGAUGAAAAAGCAUCUGUUUUGCAAACUGCUGAAUAAAAGAUUUAUAAUUGUAACAGACAUUUGAAGUUUGCAU